CAUUCAUUGGGCAUCACAGGGAAGAUAAGAGCGAGGAAACUAAACCACAGCUAUUUCUGUGACAUGAUCUCACCUCGCAACACCUAGCUACUGAAGCAGGACUCUGAAAAAUCGUCAGCGCAGCUUUUAAUGCUAUUUUUUGGUCAAGAUUUUACAGGCAGAACAGCAUCUUCUCUGUAUCUAUCCAGUCUGCACGCCCGGACUGACGCAGAUCCCACCGGCGAAGCUGACGUCCUCCAAGAUGUUUGCUCCAUCAGUUGUUCCCACUCCCCCCUUCUGCGUCUGGGAGCAAUGCACGAUGCUUUCGGCGGCCCCUUUUCCUGCGGUGCUCUGGCAUAUGCUUCUUAGCAGUGUAACUAUGUUGCUCCUUUUCAAAUGAAAAUAUUUGGGAAAACAGGCACUAUUUCCUCAGUACCCAACUCCCCACAGAUCCAUCCACUACCAAAUGAGAUAAAAUACAAAUGUACACGUCUC
Long non-coding RNA from Cygnus atratus (black swan), 474 nucleotides. RefSeq lists it as uncharacterized. The record is from RefSeq and is a predicted model, not a curated record. Lineage: Eukaryota; Metazoa; Chordata; Aves; Anseriformes; Anatidae. The transcript has 2 exons.